GAUGAACGUUGGCGGUGUGCCUAAUACAUGCAAGUCGAACGGAGACUGUAGCAAUACUGUCUUAGUGGCGAACGGGUGAGUAACGCGUUGGUGAUCUGCCUCGAAGUGUGGAAUAACCUCCCGAAAGGGAAGCUAAUACCGCAUAGUCUCUCAAGGUUUAGAAAAUUGAGAGUAAAGGAUUUAUUCGCUUCGAGAGGAGCCUGCGUCCCAUCAGCUAGUUGGUAGGGUAACGGCCUACCAAGGCAAUGACGGGUAGGGGACCUGAGAGGGUGGCCCCCCACAAUGGAACUGAAACACGGUCCAUACACCUACGGGUGGCAGCAGUAGGGAAUAUUAGAAAUGGGCGGAAGCCUGAUCUAGCAACACCGCGUGUGCGAUGAAGGCCUUCGAGUCGUAAAGCACUUUUUGGAGGGAUGAGGAAGGACAGUACCUCCAGAAUAAGCCUCGGCUAACUACGUG
Molecule: ribosomal RNA, 459 nt
Filed under: uncultured bacterium
Lineage: Bacteria
Description: bacterial SSU rRNA
Rfam family: Bacterial small subunit ribosomal RNA
Source: RNAcentral